GGGGAAUUUUCCGCAAUGGGCGCAAGCCUGACGGAGCAAUACCGCGUGAGGGAUGACGGCCUAUGGGUUGUAAACCUCUUUUUUCAGGGAGGAAUCAAUGACGUGUACCUGAAGAAUAAGCAUCGGCUAACUC
This 133-nucleotide ribosomal RNA is filed under the name uncultured bacterium. RNAcentral describes it as "partial 16S ribosomal RNA". It matches the Rfam family "Bacterial small subunit ribosomal RNA", at positions 356 to 503 of the family's 1533-position model. The record is from RNAcentral.